CAGUCGCCGCGGGAAUACGAAGGGGGCUAGCGUUGCUCGGAAUGACUGGGCGUAAAGGGCGCGUAGGCGGCGGCCAAAGUCAGGCGUGAAAUUCCCGGGCUCAACCUGGGGGCUGCGUUUGAUACUUGGUUGCUUGAGUGGGGAAGAGGGUCGUGGAAUUCCCAGUGUAGAGGUGAAAUUCGUAGAUAUUGGGAAGAACACCGGUGGCGAAGGCGGCGACCUGGUCCUUUACUGACGCUGAGGCGCGAAAGCGUGGGGAGCAAACAGGAUUAGAUACCCCAGUAGUCCCUGUCUCUUAUAC
RNAcentral lists this ribosomal RNA (301 nucleotides) under uncultured bacterium. Its description in RNAcentral is "partial 16S ribosomal RNA". It matches the Rfam family "Bacterial small subunit ribosomal RNA", at positions 509 to 807 of the family's 1533-position model. The record is from RNAcentral.